UGUCUCGGCCAUAGUCUUCCGGGUUCCACUCGGUCUCAUUCCGAACCCGAAAGUGAAAACGGAAGACGCUAUGAGGAGUACUGGGGUCCGAGAGGCCCUGGGAAACUCUAGUGCUGAGACAG
This 122-nucleotide ribosomal RNA is filed under the name Thermoprotei archaeon. Lineage: Archaea; Thermoproteati; Thermoproteota; Thermoprotei. The record is from RNAcentral.